GUGAAAAGAAAAGGAAGGAUGAAACAGCAUCUGGUGUGUGUGCAAUGGCUGGCUACAGACCCUUGGUGGCAGUGUUGAGCCUGUUCUGUUUGCUUUACUGUACAGGCCGAUACAGCAUUAGUGUGUGAAGAGUACUCAUCAGAUGGUAAAUUGGAAUUGACAGAGAUGGCUAUCUUGAUCCAGGAGAAGUUCCCACAACUUCAUGAGGACAACAGAAAAUUCCUGGAGUUAUUCAAACAGAGUGACGAGAAUGAGGAUGGGAGUUUGACCCUAAUGGAGUGCACAAACAUGAUCAAAAGCAUCACAUCUGCUCAACAAAGUUAAGAUUAAGCACGUAGAGUCAACGGUGAAGUGUAGUACAUAGUCAAUAAUUAUAAAAAUACAGCUUAUUAUUGACCGAAAUA
Long non-coding RNA from Alosa alosa (allis shad), 404 nucleotides. RefSeq lists it as uncharacterized. The transcript is spliced from 4 exons. The record is from RefSeq and is a predicted model, not a curated record. NCBI's taxonomy places the organism in Eukaryota, Metazoa, Chordata, Actinopteri, Clupeiformes, Clupeidae.